ACUUGUUCUCAGGGCGGGGUGGAAGUCCCCACCGGCGGUGAUCUGGUUCGCCAGAGAGCCCGCGAGCGCCCCUCCGGGUGGAGGGGGUCAAGCAGACCCGGUGCGAUUCCGGGGCCGACGGUAACAGUCCGGAUGAAAGAGAAUAAGG
Molecule: non-coding RNA, 148 nt
Filed under: Pseudodesulfovibrio indicus
Lineage: Bacteria; Pseudomonadati; Thermodesulfobacteriota; Desulfovibrionia; Desulfovibrionales; Desulfovibrionaceae
Description: FMN sequence
Rfam family: FMN riboswitch aptamer (RFN element)
About the family: The RFN element is a highly conserved domain that is found frequently in the 5'-untranslated regions of prokaryotic mRNAs that encode for flavin mononucleotide (FMN) biosynthesis and transport proteins. This element is a metabolite-dependent riboswitch that directly binds FMN in the absence of proteins.
Source: RNAcentral